This 253-nucleotide ribosomal RNA is filed under the name uncultured bacterium. RNAcentral's name for it is "partial 16S ribosomal RNA". It matches the Rfam family "Bacterial small subunit ribosomal RNA", at positions 524 to 776 of the family's 1533-position model. The record is from RNAcentral.
UACGAGGGGGGCAAAUGUUGUUCGGAAUCACUGGGCGUAAAGGGAGCGUAGGCGGGUUCUUAAGUAAGGUGUUUAAUCCCGGGGCCCAACCCCGGACCGGCACUUUAAACUGGGAAUCUUGAAUAGUGGAGAGGUCGGUGGAAUUCCUGGUGUAGCGGUGAAAUGCGCAGAUAUCAGGGGGAACACCUAUUGCGAAGGCAGCUCGCUGGGACGUUACUGACGCUGAGACGCGAAAGCGUGGGGAGCAAACAGG